RNAcentral lists this ribosomal RNA (819 nucleotides) under Lindgomyces rotundatus. RNAcentral's name for it is "SSU rRNA". It matches the Rfam family "Eukaryotic small subunit ribosomal RNA", at positions 152 to 980 of the family's 1831-position model. The record is from RNAcentral. RNAcentral also lists the same sequence under 1 other name. Lineage: Eukaryota; Fungi; Ascomycota; Dothideomycetes; Pleosporales; Lindgomycetaceae.
GUAAUUCUAGAGCUAAUACAUGCUAAAAACCCCGACUUCGGAAGGGGUGUAUUUAUUAGAUAAAAAACCAAUGCCCUUCGGGGCUCUUUGGUGAUUCAUAAUAACUUAACGGAUCGCAUGGCCUUGCGCCGGCGACGGUUCAUUCAAAUUUCUGCCCUAUCAACUUUCGAUGGUAAGGUAUUGGCUUACCAUGGUUUCAACGGGUAACGGGGAAUUAGGGUUCGAUUCCGGAGAGGGAGCCUGAGAAACGGCUACCACAUCCAAGGAAGGCAGCAGGCGCGCAAAUUACCCAAUCCCGACACGGGGAGGUAGUGACAAUAAAUACUGAUACAGGGCUCUUUUGGGUCUUGUAAUUGGAAUGAGUACAAUUUAAACCCCUUAACGAGGAACAAUUGGAGGGCAAGUCUGGUGCCAGCAGCCGCGGUAAUUCCAGCUCCAAUAGCGUAUAUUAAAGUUGUUGCAGUUAAAAAGCUCGUAGUUGAAACUUGGGCCUGGCUGGCCGGUCCGCCUCACCGCGUGUACUGGUCCGGCCGGGCCUUUCCUUCUGGAGAGCCUCAUGCCCUUCACUGGGUGUGUUGGGGAACCAGGACUUUUACUUUGAAAAAAUUAGAGUGUUCAAAGCAGGCCUUUGCUCGAAUACGUUAGCAUGGAAUAAUAGAAUAGGACGUGCGAUCCUAUUUUGUUGGUUUCUAGGACCGCCGUAAUGAUUAAUAGGGAUAGUCGGGGGCAUCAGUAUUCAAUUGUCAGAGGUGAAAUUCUUGGAUUUAUUGAAGACUAACUACUGCGAAAGCAUUUGCCAAGGAUGUUUUCAUUAAUCAG